AUUGAACGCUGGCGGCAUGCCUUACACAUGCAAGUCGAACGGUAACAGGUCUUCGGAUGCUGACGAGUGGCGAACGGGUGAGUAAUACAUCGGAACGUGCCUAGUAGUGGGGGAUAACUACUCGAAAGAGUGGCUAAUACCGCAUGAGAUCUACGGAUGAAAGCAGGGGAUCGCAAGACCUUGUGCUACUAGAGCGGCCGAUGGCAGAUUAGGUAGUUGGUGGGAUAAAAGCUUACCAAGCCGACGAUCUGUAGCUGGUCUGAGAGGACGAUCAGCCACACUGGGACUGAGAAACGGCCCAGACUCCUACGGGAGGCAGCAGUGGGGAAUUUUGGACAAUGGGCGCAAGCCUGGUCCAGCAAUGCCGCGUGCAGGAUGAAGGCCUUCGGGUUGUAAAUUGCUUUUGUACGGAACGAAAAGCCCCGGGUUAAUACCCUGGGGUCAUGACGGUACCGUAAGAAUAAGCACCGGCUAACUACGUGCCAGCCGCCGCGGUAA
RNAcentral lists this ribosomal RNA (498 nucleotides) under uncultured bacterium. RNAcentral's name for it is "partial 16S ribosomal RNA". It matches the Rfam family "Bacterial small subunit ribosomal RNA", at positions 30 to 523 of the family's 1533-position model. The record is from RNAcentral.